This is a non-coding RNA of Anopheles stephensi (Asian malaria mosquito), 70 nucleotides long. Lineage: Eukaryota; Metazoa; Arthropoda; Insecta; Diptera; Culicidae. The record is from Rfam.
GCAGACGUGCAUGUUUUCUAGUACACAGUGCUGGUUAAACUUUCGUGACUAGAUUACAUGCUCGUCUGUU